This 230-nucleotide long non-coding RNA is filed under the name Capsicum annuum. RNAcentral describes it as "long non-coding RNA (CANN_LNC010175)". Lineage: Eukaryota; Viridiplantae; Streptophyta; Magnoliopsida; Solanales; Solanaceae. The record is from RNAcentral.
UAUUAGUAAUUAUUUUAUUUUUUGAAUUAGGUUGUGUAGUAGUGAGUAGUAGUUCAUUAUUUUACUAUUCAUAGUUUCGUCAUUUUAGUUGCUUAAUUAUUUUCAUGUCGGUUUUAGGAGUAAGCUCUUUGCUUUUAGGAUGCAUCCUAAUAACUCGCCAGUUUAGGUACCUUUCUCGAUGAUAAAUAGAUAACGACCGUCCUAAAGGGAAUUAGUCUUUGGGAGUGAAU